This 497-nucleotide ribosomal RNA is filed under the name uncultured bacterium. RNAcentral's name for it is "partial 16S ribosomal RNA". It matches the Rfam family "Bacterial small subunit ribosomal RNA", at positions 28 to 507 of the family's 1533-position model. The record is from RNAcentral.
GAUGAACGCUGACGGCGUGCCUAAUACAUGCAAGUCGAGCGAACAGACGAGGAGCUUGCUCCUCUGACGUUAGCGGCGGACGGGUGAGUAACACGUGGAUAACCUACCUAUAAGACUGGGAUAACUUCGGGAAACCGGAGCUAAUACCGGAUAAUAUAUUGAACCGCAUGGUUCAAUAGUGAAAGACGGUUUUGCUGUCACUUAUAGAUGGAUCCGCGCCGCAUUAGCUAGUUGGUAAGGUAACGGCUUACCAAGGCAACGAUGCGUAGCCGACCUGAGAGGGUGAUCGGCCACACUGGAACUGAGACACGGUCCAGACUCCUACGGGAGGCAGCAGUAGGGAAUCUUCCGCAAUGGGCGAAAGCCUGACGGAGCAACGCCGCGUGAGUGAUGAAGGUCUUCGGAUCGUAAAACUCUGUUAUUAGGGAAGAACAAAUGUGUAAGUAACUAUGCACGUCUUGACGGUACCUAAUCAGAAAGCCACGGCUAACUACGUG